Molecule: long non-coding RNA, 409 nt
Organism: Gymnodraco acuticeps
Lineage: Eukaryota; Metazoa; Chordata; Actinopteri; Perciformes; Bathydraconidae
Exons: 3
Source: RefSeq, a predicted model, not a curated record
GAGUGAUGGAAAUCGGGAGGAAAGAAAGUUCAUUUAAGUGGAGAAAGAUAUAAGAAGGCCGCCAUGUUUUGUCCUUUCUGUGGCCAACAUCUGGGGACAGUUCAAGUGCUCUGCGGCAAACAUGUACAGUUUGUGGCAGAAGUUGAACACGAACAUAAGGAGGGUCAGGAACUCACGCUUGGGACCACCAGUGUCCCCUCCAUCCUCAGUCGAAUGAGAGGGGUCGAAUGAGGCACCUUUGAAGCUGCGGAUUGCUCCAUCCCACACAUUGGCUCUAUUCAUAUUGACCCUGCUGCAAGAUGUAUUUGUUAUUUUUGCAGAGAGUUCUGCAACAAUGUGCCGCAGUCAGGUAUUCUGUGCUGGGAAAGACAAAGUGAUGUAUUGUAAUAUUAAAUUGCAAUUCUAACAA